AGAGUUUGAUCCUGGCUCAGAACGAACGCUGGCGGCGUGGUUUAGGCAUGCAAGUCGAGCGAGAAAGUCACCUUCGGGAGGCGAGUAAAGCGGCGCAAGGGUGAGUAAUAUAUAGGUAACCUACCUCUAAGAUCGGGAUAAUUCCUGGAAACGGGUUGUAAUACUGGAUGGUCUUUUCGGGUCGCAUGGCCCGGAUUAGUAAAUGGUAGCUAUGCUUCUGCUUAGAGAGGGGCCUAUAUCCUAUUAGCUUGUUGGUGCGGUAAUGGCGCACCAAGGCAAUGAUGGGUAGCCGGACUGAGAGGUUGGCCGGUCACACUGGGACUGAGACACUGCCCAGACUCCUACGGGAGGCUGCAGUCGAGAAUCUUCCGCAAUGGGCGAAAGCCUGACGGGGCGACGCCGCGUGAACGAAGAAGGCCUUCGGGUUGUAAAGUUCUGUCAGUAGAGAAGAACGAGUAUCGGUUAAUAGUCGGUGCUUUGACGUUAUCUUCAGAGGAAGCCCUGGCUAACUCCGUGCCAGCAGCCGCGGUAAUACGGAGAGGGCAAGCGUUAUUCGGAAUCACUGGGCAUAAAGGGCACGUAGGCGGAUCAGAAAGUCGGUUGUGAAAGCCCGGGGCUCAACCCCGGAACUGCUUCCGAAACUUCUGGUCUAGAGGGUGAGAGGGGAGAGUGGAACUUCUGGUGGAGCGGUGAAAUGCGUAGAGAUCAGAAGGAACACCGGUGGCGAAAGCGACUCUCUGGCUCAUUUCUGACGCUGAGGUGCGAAAGCUUGGGUAGCGAACGGGAUUAGAUACCCCGGUAGUCCAAGCCGUAAACGAUGAGCACUAGGUAGGGGGAACUCUGACGUUCUCCCUGCUGUAGCUAAUGUGUUAAGUGCUCCGCCUGGGGAGUAUGGUCGCAAGGCUAAAACUCAAAGGAAUUGACGGGGGCUCACACAAGCGGUGGAGCAUGUGGUUUAAUUCGAAGCAACGCGCAGAACCUUACCCAGGUUUGACAUGCAGUUGUAGGCUCCUGAAAAGGAGCCGAACUGCGUAAGCAGAAGGCUAGUACAGGUGCUGCAUGGCUGUCGUCAGCUCGUGUCGUGAGAUGUCGGGUUAAGUCCCUUAACGAGCGAAACCCCUACUGUCUAUUUGCCAGCGGGUUAUGCCGGGCACCCUAGCGGGACUGCCGUGGUUAACACGGAGGAAGGCGGGGAUGACGUCAAGUCCUCAUGGCCCUUACGCCCAGGGCUACACACGUGCUACAAUGGCCGGUACAAAGGGCUGCGAAGGGGUAACCUGGAGCCAAUCCCACAAAGCCGGUCUCAGUACGGAUUGGGGGCUGAAAUUUGCCCCCAUGAAGUUGGAAUCGCUAGUAAUCGCGGAUCAGCAAUGCCGCGGUGAAUAUGUUCCUGAGCCUUGUACACACCGCCCGUCAAGCCACGGGAGCUGGUAGUGCCCGAAGUCGCUGACCCAACCCCUCGGGGAGGGAGGCGCCGACGGUAAGACCGGUGACUGGGACUAAGUCGUAACAAGGUAACC
RNAcentral lists this ribosomal RNA (1520 nucleotides) under uncultured prokaryote. RNAcentral describes it as "partial 16S ribosomal RNA". It matches the Rfam family "Bacterial small subunit ribosomal RNA". The record is from RNAcentral.